CAAAGCAUCAGUGGGGCUCUUCUGUGUGAUUGAAGCUAAAUUGUGUGCUGGGGCAAGCACCCUCGCUUCUUGAGGUUAUGCUGAAAUUUCAUGUACUGCUGCUUCAGAGAGCUGCAGUUUGAGGCUGCUGCCCUGGGAUUUUCUGUUCAUUUCCACAGCAGCAUAGCUGGUAAAUCUGCAGUCAACAGGAAAGUUCCCUGGCAGAAUGCACCUCUCAAUCAAUGUUGGACAGAAGCAUGCCCACCUUUGAAGCUGUAAACAUCCAGGAAGUCCAUCCAGAA
RNAcentral lists this long non-coding RNA (281 nucleotides) under Zonotrichia albicollis (white-throated sparrow). RNAcentral's name for it is "lncRNA (ENSZALG00000016718.1)". Lineage: Eukaryota; Metazoa; Chordata; Aves; Passeriformes; Passerellidae. The record is from RNAcentral.